RNAcentral lists this ribosomal RNA (378 nucleotides) under uncultured bacterium. RNAcentral's name for it is "bacterial SSU rRNA". It matches the Rfam family "Bacterial small subunit ribosomal RNA", at positions 362 to 757 of the family's 1533-position model. The record is from RNAcentral.
UAUUGGACAAUGGGCGCAAGCCUGAUCCAGCAAUGCCGCGUGAGUGAUGAAGGCCUUCGGGUCGUAAAGCUCUUUUACCAGGGAUGAUAAUGACAGUACCUGGAGAAUAAGCUCCGGCUAACUCCGUGCCAGCAGCCGCGGUAAUACGGAGGGAGCUAGCGUUGUUCGGAAUUACUGGGCGUAAAGCGCGCGUAGGCGGCUACUCAAGUCAGAGGUGAAAGCCCGGGGCUCAACCCCGGAACUGCCUUUGAAACUAGGUGGCUAGAAUCUUGGAGAGGUCAGUGGAAUUCCGAGUGUAGAGGUGAAAUUCGUAGAUAUUCGGAAGAACACCAGUGGCGAAGGCGACUGACUGGACAAGUAUUGACGCUGAGGUGCGAA